CUCAGUAACACGUGGCCAAACUACCCUGUGGACGAAGAUAAUCUCGGGAAACUGAGGUCAAUCCUUGAUAUGGCUUCCAUCCUGGAGUGGAUGAAGUCCAACAGUCGCGCUGCGGCACCACAGGAUGUGGCUGCGGCCGAUUAGGUAGACGGUGGGGUAACGGCCCACCGUGCCAAUAAUCGGUACAGGUGAUGAGAGUCAGAGCCCGGAGACGGUAUCUGAGACAAGAUAACGGGCCCUACGGGGCGCAGCAGGCGCGAAACCUUUACACUGCACGAGAGUGCGAUAGGGGGACUCCAGAUGUGCGAGGGCAUACAGUCCUCGCUUUUGUGGACCGUAAGGAGGUCCAAGGAAUAAGGGCUGGGCAAAGACCGGUGCCAGCCGCCGCGGUAAUACCGGCAGCCCGAGUGAUGGCCGAUAUUAUUGGGCCUAAAGCGUUCGUAGCCGGCCAGACAAUGUCUGUUGGGAAAUCCACGCGCUCAACGCGUGGGCGUCCAGCGGAAACUGUCUGGCUUGGGGCCAGACGACUCGAUGGGUACCUCCGGAGUA
Molecule: ribosomal RNA, 549 nt
Filed under: uncultured archaeon
Lineage: Archaea
Description: bacterial SSU rRNA
Rfam family: Archaeal small subunit ribosomal RNA
Source: RNAcentral